GACGAACGCUGGCGGCGUGCUUAACACAUGCAAGUCGAACGAAGAGCGAUGGAAGCUUGCUUCUAUCAAUCUUAGUGGCGAACGGGUGAGUAACGCGUAAUCAACCUGCCCUUCAGAGGGGGACAACAGUUGGAAACGACUGCUAAUACCGCAUACGAUCUAACCUCGGCAUCGAGGAUAGAUGAAAGGUGGCCUCUACAUGUAAGCUAUCACUGAAGGAGGGGAUUGCGUCUGAUUAGCUAGUUGGAGGGGUAACGGCCCACCAAGGCGAUGAUCAGUAGCCGGUCUGAGAGGAUGAACGGCCACAUUGGGACUGAGACACGGCCCAGACUCCUACGGGAGGCAGCAGUGGGGAAUCUUCCGCAAUGGACGAAAGUCUGACGGAGCAACGCCGCGUGAGUGAUGACGGCCUUCGGGUUGUAAAGCUCUGUUAAUCGGGACGAAAGGCCUUCUUGCGAAUAGUGAGAAGGAUUG
Molecule: ribosomal RNA, 474 nt
Filed under: Veillonella parvula
Lineage: Bacteria; Bacillati; Bacillota; Negativicutes; Veillonellales; Veillonellaceae
Description: bacterial SSU rRNA
Rfam family: Bacterial small subunit ribosomal RNA
Source: RNAcentral